Molecule: long non-coding RNA, 4094 nt
Filed under: Sus scrofa (pig)
Lineage: Eukaryota; Metazoa; Chordata; Mammalia; Artiodactyla; Suidae
Description: lncRNA (ENSSSCG00025073376.1)
Source: RNAcentral
ACCUACACCACAGCUCACGGCAAUGCUGGAUCCCCAACCCGCUGAGCGAGGCCAGGGAUCAAACCCACAACCUCAUGGUUCCUAGUUGGAUUCGUUAACCACUGCGCCGUGACAAGAACUCCUUUUUUUUUUUUUUUUCAAGUAAGGUUAUAUAAAGUUCCCAAGGGAAUUAUAAACUUUGUAAACACAUUUUAAAAACUCCAGUAUUAUAAAUCUAAUCAAUAUAAAUAUGCUGAUGGCAAUAAGCAUCAAUUAAAAUAUAUCCUGGACACUUUCAUCAGUCUUCUACAAGAAGUUUUGAAAGAGACGGUAUGCACAGUUCAGGUCUCUGAGGGAACUGUCAGAGCAGGUUUGGGAUGAUGACUUCUUAUUCAUCAGCUACUCUAUCAAACAGAGAGGUGGUCGGUGAAAAUUUACUACUGACUGUGACAAUUAAAAAGAUGACAAUGGUAUUUCAUACUGACAAAUUCAUUCUAAAAGAUUAACUCUAUGUUUUACUCUCCUUACCUUCCUGAAUCUUCUUACUUCAGCUGUAGUAAUAAUAGUAGCAGCAGCAGCAAAGAUGUAGUGAGUGCUUACUACAUGUUAGGCAUUAUUCUAAGUCCUUCAUAUGCAUUAACUCAUUUAAUUCCGUCCAAACCCUUUUUUUUUUCUUUUUAGGGCUGCACCUGCCACGUAUGGAGGUUCCCAGAUCAUGGGUCCAAUCGGAGCUACAGCUGCCAGCCUAUACCACGGCUACAGCAACAGGGGAUCCGAGCCACGUCUGCGACCUACGCCACAGCUCACGGCAAUGCCAGAUCCUUAACCCACUGAGUGAGGCCAAGGGUUGAACCCACAACCUCAUAGUUCCUAUUCAGAUUUGUUUCUGCUGCUCCAUUGCAGGAACUCCUUUUUUUUUUUUCUUUUCCAAACCCUAUUCUAACAAUAGCUACUGGCUCCAUAGCAUUAACUAUGUGCCAGCAGUUGUUUAAGCACUUUACGUAUAUUAAUUCCAUUAAGUCUCACAGGAGAUCAGUGAUGAAGGUAUAAUUGUUAACCCCUUCAUAGGGAGGGGAAGAGUGAGCUUGAAAGAUGUUAAACUUACUCAAGACUACAAAGCUCAGCAUCAGGCAAAAUCAAGGUACCAGGAAGUAGCAAAUGUCAUUCUACCGCCUCUUUUUUUUAUUCUUGGUGUCACAGAUUCUGCGUGAUUUUGCAUUGCAUUAAAAGCUCUAAUAAUAAAUAUACCAAACUGUCAAAAGAGCCUUGAAAUCACCAUCGCAGAAUUGCUAAAAUGAUCACAAUAUCCUGAAAAGGCUUGAUCUGUUUUCUUUUUCAAUCUGAACAUUUUGUUGAGUAGCUUCUCAUUUGUGUCUGGAUAUAUGUGUGGAUUUGUGUUUGUGCAGCAGAGAGAUUGUGAGAUAUUGAGAGAGAGAACUGAAUCUGCUGUAGCCAUCUAUCUUGCACCAAGAGGGGAGGUAGCCAAAACACUGAGAAGGGCAAAGGAGGAAGAAUCUGGUUUUUUGAUGACACAGUUGAGCAGCUGAGCUAUCCAAGCCUGGAAUCACCAUACCUCUCUUACAUAAGCAAUAGUUUUAUUGUAUAAGCAACUUCCGCUUUGGGUUUCUAUACUUGGAAUGAAAAUAUCUUUUUAUUUUUGUCUUUUUGCCAUUUCUUGGGCUGCUCCUGCGGCAUAUGGAGGUUCCCAGGCUAGGGAUCUAAUCGGAGCUGUAGCCACCGGCCUACACCACAGCCACAGCAAUGCGGGAUCCGAGCCGUGUCUGCAAACUACACCACAGCUCACGGCAAUGCCGGAUCCUUAACCCACUGAGCAAGGCCAGGGAUCAAACCCGCAACCUCAUGGUUCCUAGUCGGAUUCGUUAACCACUGUGCCAUGACGGGAGCUCCUGGAAUGAAAAUAUCUUAACAGAUACAUUAACUACUCACACUUCCUCACGUAUUUCUAUUUCAACUUUCUUGUCUUGGUGUACUCUUCAGAGAUACACACACACACACACACACACACGUCUCUCUAUGAAUCAGUGCAAUACCAAACAAUCCCCCAAUAGGGCUUAAAUCAGCACACAUUUAUUUCUUGCCUGAAUCCACUGUAAAUUGGCUCUUUGUCAUAAUUCCUCUGAGACCAAGACUGAAGGAGAAGCCUAAGCAAAAAUAAAAAACGCAUGUCACUUCAACAGGAGGAAAAGAGAAGUCCUGAGGAUCUCACCCUGGUGACUGAAUGCAGCGACACACCUCACUUCCGCUUACAAUUCACUAGCCAGAACUAGUACACACCCCUGUGUAACUACAGGGGGCACAGGAAAUGCCAGGCGGGCAAUGGGCCCAUGUGCCCGGAAGGAGGGAAUGGCACGAACGACUACCAAAGCCUACACAGCGCUGGAGCUCCUAAAUAUGGCACUUCACCUGAGGCGGGAAGAGUGGCAGGAGACAAGGGUGGGAAAGGGAUUUUGCGCUUUUUUUUUUUUAAUUUUAUACCAUUUUGAUAGCAUUUGGAUUGUCUUAAACUUUUAAAACUGAAAUAGAAGACACAGAGAUAAGCUCACAGAUCAUAAAAGUUCGGCUCAAUGAACUAUCAUGAGGUGAACUCAUGUGUACAAUUACCACCUGCAUCAAAAAAUAACACAUUGUCUGCACCUUUGUGACCCUUUCAAUCUCUGCCUCCAUCCUUCCUCCCAAAGUUAUGCUGAUUCCUGAUCCCAUGGACUCAAACAUUUUUUUUCUUUUUACAGCUGCACCUGUGGCACGUGAACAUCCCCAGGCUAGGAGUCUAAGGAGAGCUGCAGCUGCCACAGCCACGGCAACAGCAGAUCCAAGCCGUGUCUCCAACCUGUGUUGCAGCUUGCAGCGACAGCAGAUUCUUAACCCACUGAGCAAGGCCAGGGAUGGAACUCGAAUGUUCACAGACACUAUGUUGGAUUCUUAACCUGCUGAACCACAACAGGAACUCUUAACCCCACGGAUUAAAAAUUAAAAAGAAAUGAAUAUUUAUAAAACUUAUCCUGAGGGAAGUAGAUGAAAACAUCUCCUUGGGGUUUCUCUAAACCCAGGGGAGAAUAAGCAGGCUAUUAUUUUGAAUGACCGAAACUCCCAGGAGGUAAAGAGUGGGCAGAGAGGUAGCUGGGCCCAGGGAGAACUGGGUUCUUUGAGACUCAGAGGAUGGAAGGUUCUGUGAGUAGAGGAGAUGGUAUCUGCCCCCAGCCUCCCUCAAGGUGUCAGGACCUCUGAUGACAUAGCUCAUGGCUCCUUAGAGCUCACCACUGGCUCAUCCUUGACCUUGGCGCCUUGUCACCUGGGCUGAGGCAGACUGGAAUGUCAACAGGCUUCUCUGUGGCAUCUGUGCUCCACAGACGACAGAGUAGCAGGCUCAACCUUGGCACUGGGAAAUCAUAGGAAGAGAAGCAAUAGCACUGACCUUGGAGUAAAGGCCGAGGCCCCCCUCCCCCUGCUACCCCAUUUCUGUAAGCCCUCAGGCUUCCUGUUCUACACAGUCAGGAGAUACUGGUGUUGGUAGUAGGUGUCCUGAUAAUAACUGCCUUAGGAUGGUUUCCCAGGCAGGGAGGUGAAGGCACAAAUCUGAAUAUAAUUCAGCUUCAGAAACAAUACAAGGAGUUCCUCUUGUGGCUCAUCAGGUUAAGAACCUGACACAGUGUCCAUGAGGAUACAGGUUCAAUCCCUGGCCUCACUCAGUGGGUUAAGGAUCUGGUGUUGCCUCAAGCUGUACUGUAGGUUGCAGAUGUGGCUUGGAUUCUGUGUUGCCAUGGCUAUGGUGUAGGCCUGCAGCUGCAGCUCCCAUUCAACCCCUCCCCUGGGAGCUUCCAUAUGCUGCAGGUGCAGCCAUAAAAAGCAAAAUAAACAAACAAAUAAAGAGCGAAAGAAACCAAACCAAACCAUCCAUUUCUCCCUCUGCCAGGUGGGCUGUGAACGCACACCUUCCUCACUACCCAGUUUCACCCCUACGGUGGAGACGUCCAGCUCUGCUCUUGGUACUGUAUAUUUUCGGAGACCUGGUGCCUAUUCUAGUUCCUACUCUGUACCACGUCUUGAAGUAAACCUGGAGUGGGCACAUAAUGAGUGUAUCACUCAGGGUUUAACUA